This 1507-nucleotide unclassified non-coding RNA is filed under the name Homalodisca vitripennis (glassy-winged sharpshooter). RNAcentral's name for it is "uncharacterized LOC124357098, transcript variant X1". The record is from RNAcentral. Lineage: Eukaryota; Metazoa; Arthropoda; Insecta; Hemiptera; Cicadellidae.
UGGUUUAAAAAGGCUUGCAAAAAUGUUCAUUCAACAUACCGUUUCAAAGCUUAUUUUGUGCUUUUUCCAAUAAUAAAACUUAAUCACAAAAUUUGAGUAGUUGUAUUAAUUGUAUUAAAUUAUGACAAAAACAACUAAUUUUGAUUAUAUACGUAAUGGUAUAUUACGAGUAUAAGAUCAUUCUUGCACUUAAGAUAGAAACAAGUCAGCGUGCUAGUGCAGUUUGAAAGAGUGUGAAAAUGGCGCCACACUGGGCACGAAUGUUCGUCAGCGACUGGGGAGGCUAUUAUUAAAAGCUUUUGGAAUUCUGUACUAACGCCAGGAAGUCUUAUAAAUCUGAUUCCAACGCUUAUUCAUUCAGACGCCAGACCCUGGAUUGGUAUCAUUAGAAUUUGACAAUACGACACCAAGUUUUGCAGAGGUAAACAUUAGAUAGGGGGAAAGAUUAUACACAAUGGAGUAUGUGGUUAUACGUAAAUUUAAUAUUUUUUAUUUUCAAGAAUUUUCUCUGUGUACACUUUCCAAUGUUUGUAAAUGAAUUGUAAUGCAUGACGUAAUUAUGGAAAAGAUUAUGUAACAACUAUUUUGUAUCUAAGAUCGCACUUUUAUAUGAAACCCUAUGCUAAGUUGACUGCAUUUUAACAGUGCAUCACACAAUUUUAUCUUAAUUUUACUCACACAUGAUCGUAAAGAAUCAUUUUAUGAAUGUGGCGUUGAAAAAUGCCAGAUUUGAUGGCCUUUAUGACCCUUUAUCUGGGCGAUAAAAACAGUCAAUUUGUUGUACUAUUAUGUUUAUGGCAGGUCAACCCCAUAAAAUAUGAUAUCAAAGCUAAGUAUCUCAUGAUCAAAAGUUGAUGAAAAUGUACAGCUACUAUUGAUCACGUGAACAGCGCAUGUUGGCUUACUAGCGACUAGCACGCCCCUGCCGGUGAACGGCGACACUACUACAGCGCCGGGCAGUCGCGUUGCGUCCGUAGCACGAUUUCAGCCAAGCCGGCACAGCCAGAGCCUCAUUCGGUGUCAAGUUGCGGUCGAUGUAAAGGCGUACGUGCUCUUGCAGUCUUCUCACCGGCUGUGAAUCUUUCUCGUGUGUGUUUACCAAGUUAUCAUCUGUUUCUUUGAGUUCUUUCCGCAAUACAGAAACCUCACAAUAGUGUAAGAGGACAGCUGGUGACUGAAUCUUUUUUUAUUUUGUCUUUAUUUCAUUAUUUUGAUUCUUGCUGCUGUAAAUUUCUAGUGAUAUAGGCCCAAGUAUUGUUUCUGAUAUUAUCUUACGGUUUGUUUGCAAGAUUUUGUGAUAGUGGACUUAACGAACACUUAGGUGACAGAAAGCCGCUACAUAGUCUAGUACAUUUUUGAUUGUGUCCCGGCUGAUUUCCUGCCAGCCCAGAUGUCCCAAGACGCGUGGUCUUUGCCGCCCAAGCAGGGCCUCUACGAUCCGCAGAACGAGAAGGACGCGUGUGGAGUCGGAUUCAUCGUCUCCAUCGACGGCACCAGGUCGCACAAG